Molecule: ribosomal RNA, 439 nt
Filed under: uncultured archaeon
Lineage: Archaea
Description: bacterial SSU rRNA
Rfam family: Archaeal small subunit ribosomal RNA
Source: RNAcentral
GGACCUGACUGCUAUCGGAUUGAUACUAAGCCAUGCGAGUCAUUGUAGCAAUACAAGGCAUACGGCUCAGUAACGCGUAGUCAACCUAACCUAUGGACGGGAAUAACCUCGGGAAACUGAGAAUAAUGCCCGAUAGAACAUUAUGCCUGGAAUGGUUUAUGUUCCAAAUGAUUUAUCGCCGUAGGAUGGGACUGCGGCCUAUCAGUUUGUUGGUGAGGUAAUGGCCCACCAAGACUAUUACAGGUACGGGCUCUGAGAGGAGUAGCCCGGAGAUGGGUACUGAGACACGGACCCAGGCCCUAUGGGGCGCAGCAGGCGAGAAAACUUUGCAAUGUGCGAAAGCACGACAAGGUUAAUCCGAGUGAUUUCUGCUAAAGAAACCUUUUGUCAGUCCUAGAGACACUGAUGAAUAAGGGGUGGGCUAGUUCUGGUGUCAGCU